AUGGAACACUUUGAAAGUCCUGUGGAGAAAAACAAUGAAGUUCCUACUAGGAGCAAGAGACAGAGGACUGCAAAGUCCUUUGGUGAUGAUUUUCUUGUGUAUCUCAUAGAUGACACUCCCAGUUCUAUUUCGGAGGCCUAUGCAUCGGAAGAUGCUGACUACUGGAAGGAAGCGGUUUGUAGCGAGAUGGAUUCCAUCUUGGCGAAUGAAACUUGGGAGAUAACUGAUCGUCCUUAUGGGUGCAAACCUAUAGGAUGCAAAUGGGUAUUCAAGAAGAAGCUUAGGCCUGAUGGUACUAUUGAAAAGUACAAGGCUCGGCUCGUGGCUAAGGGUUAUACCCAAAAGGAAGCUGAAGACUUCUUUGAUACUUACUCACCUGUGGCUCGACUGACCACUAUUCGAGUUCUACUUUCACUAGCUGCCUCACAUGGUCUUCUCGUUCAUCAAAUGGAUGUUAAGACUGCUUUCCUGAAUGGAGAGUUGGAUGAGGAAAUUUAUAUGGAACAACCAGAUGGGUUUGUAAUAGAUGGUCAGGAAGGGAAAGUGUGCAAGUUGCUGAAGUCUUUGUACGGACUCAAGCAAGCACCCAAACAGUGGCAUGAGAAGUUCGAAAGAACUUUAACAGCUGCAGGCUUUGUUGUGAACGAAGCUGACAAAUGUGUGUACCAUCGCCAUGGUGGGGGCGAGGGAGUUAUGCUUUGCUUGUAUGUUGAUGACAUACUGAUUUUCGGAACAAAUCUGAAUGUUAUUAAGGAGGUCAAGGAUUUCCUAUCUCGCUGUUUUGAGAUGAAGGAUUUAGGAGUGGCUGAUGUCAUUCUGAACAUCAAGUUGUUGAGAGAUGAUGAUGGUGGGAUUACAUUGCUUCAAUCUCACUAUGUGGAAAAGAUCUUGAGUCGCUUUGGCUAUAGUGACUGCAAGCCCUCUCCAACACCAUAUGAUGCUACCAGUGCUACAAGACCUGACAUCUCUUUUGCUGUUAGCAAGCUGAGCCGGUUUGUCUCAAAACCGGGAGAUGUGCAUUGGAAAGCUCUAGAGAGAGUUUUGCGUUAUUUGAAAGGCACUGUAAAUUAUGGAAUUCACUACACUGGGCAUCCAAAGGUGCUUGAAGGGUAUAGUGACUCAAUCUGGAUCUCAGAUGCUGAUGAGAUAAAGGCCACGAGCGGAUAUGUGUUCACUCAUGGAGGUGAUACAUCUACGGUUGAAACAGAUUGGCUUCGCCGGCUCUUGAAUGACUUGCCGGUUGUUGAGAAACCUGUACCGGGUGUCCUUAUGAACUGCGACAAUCAAACUGUGAUCACAAAAGUGAGCAGCUCAAAGGAUAACAUGAAGUCAUCAAGACAUGUUCAGAGAAGGUUAAAGUCUGUCAGGAAAAUGAGAAACUCCGGAGUUAUUGCAUUGGAUUAUAUCCAAACGUCUAAAAAUCUGGCAGAUCCUUUCACUAAGGGUCUAUCACGUAAUGUGAUAGAUAAUGCAUCGAGGGAGAUGGGUAUGAGACCCACA
Molecule: ribosomal RNA, 1500 nt
Filed under: Triticum aestivum (bread wheat)
Lineage: Eukaryota; Viridiplantae; Streptophyta; Magnoliopsida; Poales; Poaceae
Description: partial small subunit ribosomal RNA
Source: RNAcentral